RNAcentral lists this ribosomal RNA (253 nucleotides) under uncultured bacterium. RNAcentral's name for it is "partial 16S ribosomal RNA". It matches the Rfam family "Bacterial small subunit ribosomal RNA", at positions 524 to 776 of the family's 1533-position model. The record is from RNAcentral.
UACGUAGGGGGCAAGCGUUAUCCGGAAUCAUUGGGCGUAAAGCGCGUGUAGGCGGUUCUGUAAGUCCGCUCUGAAAGCCCAGGGCUCAACCCUGGGAGGCGGGUGGAUACUACAGAACUGGAGUACGGAGGAGGAGAUUGGAAUUCCUGGUGUAGCGGUGAAAUGCGCAGAUAUCAGGAGGAACACCAACAGCGAAGGCAGAUCUCUGGGACGUUACUGACGCUGAGACGCGAAAGCGUGGGGAGCAAACAGG